UAGGGUGCAAGCGUUGUCCGGAAUUACUGGGUGUAAAGGGAGCGCAGGCGGAUUGGCAAGUUGGGAGUGAAAUCUAUGGGCUCAACCCAUAAAUUGCUUUCAAAACUGUCAGUCUUGAGUGGUGUAGAGGUAGGCGGAAUUCCCGGUGUAGCGGUGGAAUGCGUAGAUAUCGGGAGGAACACCAGUGGCGAAGGCGGCCUACUGGGCACUAACUGACGCUGAGGCUCGAAAGCAUGGGUAGCAA
Molecule: ribosomal RNA, 244 nt
Filed under: uncultured bacterium
Lineage: Bacteria
Description: partial 16S ribosomal RNA
Rfam family: Bacterial small subunit ribosomal RNA
Source: RNAcentral